CCCCCCCCCGGAGCAGCGGUUGCUGACUUUCUGCACCAGCAGCGCGAUUAGCCGCAGCCUGAACGGCGGGAGAACGGCCGGGCCCAGCUCCAGCACGGAGAGCGCGGCACCCGAGCCUGGAUCAGAACAAGGCAGAGUGAUCUUUAGAUUGACUAAGGGAGAUUGAGCGGGGCAGAUGCUGUUCUUCUGUACUCUGCCAAAGGAACGUGGGCCAGUGAGAAUUCCCACAGCCUGGAGGGCUCAAGCAGGAUUAUGUGGAUUCAUUGCAUGUGACAGCAGCAUCUCAUGGCCAUCUCUGAAACACUACUGCUGGAGGCCAGCAGUUAUUCAGGCCCCAAACACUCCUCUGAUUUUGUGUUUCUCUGCCGUCCAAGGUAUGGGCAGCCUUUGUCCAGGAACUGCUUGAUCCUCAAAUGCUUUACAAGAGAAAAGCUCUGCAAAGGAUUCGUGUGAAUCACUAGUGGUCCUUCAUCACAGUUUCAGGACCACUGUCAAAAUUAAGCUUAUUGCGCAGACCUGAAUCUUAGCAACAAACAGGAAUAUUGAUACAAAGAACUUGUAUCAUCAAAAGCAAAAAGUAAUUUAACUCCUCAAAUAAUGGUACUUGCUCCAGAUACUCAGCCAAACUUUUAAGAUUACAUUUGAAAGCAAAUAAAAAAAUGUUUUUAGGUAUUUUCUAUUAUACG
Struthio camelus australis is the source of this 686-nucleotide long non-coding RNA. NCBI's taxonomy places the organism in Eukaryota, Metazoa, Chordata, Aves, Struthioniformes, Struthionidae. The record is from Ensembl.